RNAcentral lists this ribosomal RNA (372 nucleotides) under uncultured bacterium. RNAcentral's name for it is "bacterial SSU rRNA". It matches the Rfam family "Bacterial small subunit ribosomal RNA", at positions 524 to 898 of the family's 1533-position model. The record is from RNAcentral.
CACGUAGGGGGCGAGCGUUGUUCGGAAUUACUGGGCGUAAAGGGCAUGUAGGCGGUUCUGUAAGCCUGACGUGAAAGGCUAUGGCUCAACCAUGGCACUGCGUUGGGAACUGCGGGACUUGAAUCAUGGAGAGGGAGCUGGAAUUCCAGGUGUAGGGGUGAAAUCUGUAGAUAUCUGGAAGAACACCAGCGGCGAAGGCGAGCUCCUGGCCAAUGAUUGACGCUGAGGUGCGAAAGUGUGGGGAUCAAACAGGAUUAGAGACCCUGGUAGUCCACACUGUCAACGAUGUGCACUAGGUGCUGGGGCGGACGCUUCAGUGCCGGAGCUAACGCGGUAAGUGCACCGCCUGGGGAGUAUGCUCGCAAGGGUGAA